Long non-coding RNA from Quercus lobata, 3200 nucleotides. RefSeq lists it as uncharacterized. The transcript has 9 exons. The record is from RefSeq and is a predicted model, not a curated record. NCBI's taxonomy places the organism in Eukaryota, Viridiplantae, Streptophyta, Magnoliopsida, Fagales, Fagaceae.
AUAGUUUAUUCUGUCUGUGAGUCUCUCCGUCCCUGCUCUUGCUCUUUGCAGUUUGCUCUCUCUUAAGUUUUCUUUACAAGGCACAACAGUGUCAAAUUGUCAACACAUGAUUAAAUCUAAGUUAACUAAACAAGGUUUCAGUAUGAGAUGAGAGGGAUACCUUUGCUUCUGUAGGCCUGUAGUGCCGCUGCCGCUGGCUGCCAAACUCCUCUCCUCUGUGUUCAGCCUGAGGCUAAUGGAAGGAAGGAAUGCCAACAAAGUGGUUCUAUAUGAGGAUGCAGCAAAAAAACAACUCCAAGAGUUUAUAUCAGUGCUACGUGCAUGGUUGUGAAUUAAUGGCCCAAUCAAUCAUGUUCUUCUCUUGGUGUUAUUUUGGAAAAUGUUGAAUCUGGAGUCCUUCAUCAUUUGUUAACACCUGGCACUGGUGUAGGUCUCCCUAACAUUGAUUCGGGUAUAAAUCAUUUCAAGGAUGCUUUUGAUUGGGUAGAACUAGAAGCCAAUAAUUCAGGACGUAUCGUACCUCAUGAAGGAGUUGAUCUGGAGUAUGACCUGUAAUAAAGUUAAGGAGGUUGAGUCUAGUUUAACAAAACACCUCUAGGACCAGCAAAAAUUACUUGGAGAUGCAUCAAUUACAUAUGUCACAAUUGGAAAAGAGGCAUAUCUCUCACAAGUACCAGAAAGUUUGCGCGCGCAAGAGAGAGAGAGAGAGAGAGAGAGAAAGAAUUCCUUGUGACUAUGAGUUAAGAUCAUCUAAAAAGGUAUUGGACUCCAAGUAUCAAGAAGUUGUUGGGAGAGCUUUCACAAGCUGAGUCUGAAAAGGAAUCCAAGCUGAAAAGCAUUCUUCAGAGGUUGACUGGACGUUUCUGUGAGCAUCAUAAUAAGUGGAGCCAAUUAGUUUCUGCUACUGCAGAGUUGGAUGUUUUGAUCAGUCUAGCAAUUGCAAGUGAAUAUUAUGAAGGGCCAACAAGCCAACCAAUUAUAUUAGACUCGUCAAGUCCGGAUGAAGUGCCAUGCUUUUCUGCAAAAAGUCUAGGACAUCCUGUUCUUAGAAGCGAUUCUUUAGGCAAGGGUACCUUUGUUCCCAAUGAAAUUAUGAUUGGUGGUUCUGGUCAUGCUAGGUUCAUCCUUCUCACUGGUCCUAACAUGGGGGGGAAUUCAACUCUUCUUUGCCAAGUUUGCUAGGCUAUGACUUUGGCCCAGGUAGGAGCAGAUGUCCCUGCAGACAGUUUUGAGUUGUCACCUGUGGACCGAAUCUUUGUUCGGAUGGGUGCCAAAAAUCAUAUCAUGGCAGGCCAAAGUAAAUUUUUAACUGAACUCUCAGAAACUGCAUUAAUGCUGAUGAGAUUUGUCAGUGGAUCAAAGGAUUUUCAUUGCACACUAUUGUUAUGCCUGUGAUUUUAUAGAUUAUUUGCAGAAUCAAAGACAACAUUCUUGAUCUUCUGCAACUCGUAAUUCCAUUGGUGGCAUUGGAUGAACUUGGACGUGGAACAUCAACUUCAGAUGGGCAAGCGAUUGCUGAAUCAGUUCUACAACAUUUUGUCCACAAGGUACAGUGUCGAGGAAUGUUUUCUACUCACUAUCACCGAUUAGCUGUAGAUUAUCAGAAUGAUCCUAAGGUAUACCUCUGCUUUUUCUGUUAUUUUUCUGUUUCAUCACAGACGCUGUUGACACACAAGCUAAGGGUAUCUUCUUAAUCUUCAAAAAACUAGACAAAUGAGUUUUUAGCAUGAUUGGCCAUGUGAUAACCAUAUAUAAUAGUAUCAUAGUUUAUAUUAGAUUCAUCAUGGUUUAGACAUAAAGGCCAUGAUAUUGGUACUCUACCAAUGGGCACAUAUAUUCUGAACAUUGUCUAAUUUGUUGUUCUUCAUGUUUGGAAUAGGUUUUGCAUUUCUUUACAAGUUGACACCUGGUGCAUGCCCUAAAAGCUAUGGUGUUAAUGUUGCACGGUUAGCUGGUAAGAUUCUUUUUGUAUUAUUGCCUCUUUGUUGAGAAGCUCUCUUUAUUAACCAGAAGAAACGUAGCUGAGGUACAAUGAUUUGGUUUAUGUGAUUUUAGACUGUUAACAACAGUCAUUUUCUUAAAUUAUCUGUUGGUAAAUUUCCCCAAAGUGACUAGCCAAUUUAAAAAAUUACUUCUCCAUAUACUUCUCCAUGUAAAAGAAUUAUCAACCCUGAUCUCUUUACCUUGUAAAACUCUUGACUUGAAACCCAUGACUCUUUGAAGGGGAACUACACUAACUUGUCUUCUCCCUCCUAGAAAAUUCUGAUAGAAUAUAAGACAUCCAUAAAAUCUUCAUAGAUUCUAACUCACAAUGAAUACAUCCAUUUAACAAUUCCAUAUUGAUACAUAUGGACUUCCUGUAUACAAAUUGUGGAGAUUUUUUGCUGUCUAGCACUUCAUGUUUCUCCUUCUGGGUACUUAGUCUUUAUAAACCAUGAAAGUUCAACCACCUUUGAUUAUCUUUUAAAUAUUACUUUUUUUUUUUUAAUUAAUGAUAACAAUAUUUUGGUAUUUUUUUUAAGGAAACCAAUAUGUUUGAAGUUGAAAUAUCAUUUGAAUUAUAUUUAAGGAACGUAUAUUCUUUUAUCAAACAUAUAUGCAACUGCUAGCAACUGCAAUGGGGUGGCAAGGGUGAGGACCUUGAUGAAAACAUUGGAGUGCAGAAGGAACCUAGCUGUAGCUCAAUUGAAGUGAAUAAUAAGGUACACGAGUUUCUUACUGGAGAUAAGAAACACCCAAACAGCAAAGAAAUUUACAUGAUGCUAUUGGAGAUAAAUGGUUGGCUUAAGGCACACGGCUACAUACCACAAACAGAAAUUGUGUCACAUGACUUAGGGGAGAGACAAAAGGAACAAUCCCUUGAAGUUCACAGUGAGAAGCUAGCUAUGGCUUUUGGGCUCAUCAGUACUCAACCCGGAACUACUAUAAAGAUUGUGAGGAACCUCCGUGUAUGUCUGGACUGCCAUGCUGUGACCAAGCUGAUUUCAAAGAUAACUGGACGUAAGAUUGUAAUGAGGGACUGUAUUUGAUUUCACCACUUUGUGAACGGUUCAUGUUCUUGUGGGGAUUACUGGUGAAUUGCAAUAUUGUUAACGGAUCAUGUUCUUGUGGGAAUUACUAAUGAACUGUAAUAUAUCACUGUUAUAGUGUUACUAUGCUUAGCAUUCCAUUGAUCGUAUAAUUUGAAUAACUUUUUUAAA